GAUGAACGCUAGCUACAGGCUUAACACAUGCAAGUCGAGGGGAAACGGCAUUUGGUGCUUGCACCAUUUGGACGUCGACCGGCGCACGGGUGAGUAACGCGUAUCCAACCUGCCCAUAAGUAGGGUAUAACCCGCAGAAAUGCGGACUAAUCCCCUAUGUUGUUCAAAGACGGCAUCAGAUUUGAACCAAAGGCUUGCCGCUUAUGGAUGGGGAUGCGUCCGAUUAGCUUGUUGGUGAGGUAACGGCUCACCAAGGCUUCGAUCGGUAGGGGUUCUGAGAGGAAGGCCCCCCACAUAGGAACUGAGACACGGUCCUAACUCCUACGGGAGGCAGCAGUGAGGAAUAUUGGUCAAUGGGCGAGAGCCUGAACCAGCCAAGUAGCGUGCAGGACGACGGCCCUAUGGGUUGUAAACUGCUUUUAUGCGGGGAUAACCGGCCUCACGUGUGAGGCCCUGCAGGUACCGCAUGAAUAAGGACCGGCUAAUUCCGUGCCAGCAGCCGCGGUAAUACGGAAGGUCCGGGCGUUAUCCGGAUUUAUUGGGUUUAAAGGGAGCGUAGGCCGUGGGUUAAGUGUGUUGUGAAAUCCGGUUGCUCAACAUCCGGUUUGCAGCGCAUACUGUCCCACUUGAGUGCGCACAACGCAGGCGGAAUUCGUCGUGUAGCGGUGAAAUGCUUAGAUAUGACGAGGAACCCCGAUUGCGAAGGCAGCUUGCGGGAGCGCAACUGACGCUUAAGCUCGAAGGUGCGGGUAUCAAACAGGAUUAGAUACCCUGGUAGUCCGCACGGUAAACGAUGGAUGCCCGCUGUUUGCUCUAUUUUGGGCAUGCGGCCAAGCGAAAGCAUUAAGCAUCCCACCUGGGGAGUACGCCGGCAACGGUGAAACUCAAAGGAAUUGACGGGGGCCCGCACAAGCGGAGGAACAUGUGGUUUAAUUCGAUGAUACGCGAGGAACCUUACCCGGGCUUGAACUGCCAGUGAACGAUACAGAGAUGUUGAGGCCCUUCGGGGCGCUGGUGGAGGUGCUGCAUGGUUGUCGUCAGCUCGUGCCGUGAGGUGUCGGCUUAAGUGCCAUAACGAGCGCAACCCUUUUCCACAGUUGCCAUCAGGUUAUGCUGGGCACUCUGUGGAUACUGCCGCCGCAAGGUGUGAGGAAGGUGGGGAUGACGUCAAAUCAGCACGGCCCUUACGUCCGGGGCUACACACGUGUUACAAUGGGGGGCACAGCGUGCCGUACGUGCGCAAGCACGUUCCAAUCAUGAAAUCCCCCCUCAGUUCGGACUGGGGUCUGCAACCCGACCCCACGAAGCUGGAUUCGCUAGUAAUCGCGCAUCAGCCAUGGCGCGGUGAAUACGUUCCCGGGCCU
RNAcentral lists this ribosomal RNA (1364 nucleotides) under uncultured bacterium. RNAcentral's name for it is "bacterial SSU rRNA". It matches the Rfam family "Bacterial small subunit ribosomal RNA", at positions 28 to 1381 of the family's 1533-position model. The record is from RNAcentral.